This 67-nucleotide ribosomal RNA is filed under the name Erysiphe sp. Man. Its description in RNAcentral is "partial 28S ribosomal RNA". Lineage: Eukaryota; Fungi; Ascomycota; Leotiomycetes; Helotiales; Erysiphaceae. The record is from RNAcentral.
ACGGCACCCGCCAGAACCCCAGUCUUUGGAUGACCUCGGAUCAGGUAGGGAUACCCGCUGAACUUAA